RNAcentral lists this ribosomal RNA (253 nucleotides) under uncultured bacterium. Its description in RNAcentral is "partial 16S ribosomal RNA". It matches the Rfam family "Bacterial small subunit ribosomal RNA", at positions 524 to 776 of the family's 1533-position model. The record is from RNAcentral. RNAcentral also lists the same sequence under 1 other name.
GACGAACCGAGCGAACGUUGUUCGGAAUCACUGGGCUUAAAGGGCGCGUAGGCGGGCUGCCAAGUUUGGGGUGAAAUCCACCGGCUCAACCGGAGAAGGGCCUCGAAUACUGGCGGUCUGGAGGGAGGUAGGGGCGUGCGGAACUAACGGUGGAGCGGUGAAAUGCGUUGAUAUCGUUAGGAACUCCGGUGGCGAAGGCGGCACGCUGGACCUUUUCUGACGCUGAGGCGCGAAAGCCAGGGGAGCGAACGGG